UCCUCCAUGACCAGUGUUUGGACCUAUUUUGAUAUCCUUCUGGGGAAAGAAUCUUUAUUAAGAUGGGAGUGAAAAUAACUCCUGACUCGCUGAAGUAACCUUUUUGAGGAAGAGAACCUCAAUGCCAUGAGUUCAGACCUUCUUCUUUUUAGAUAUUAGCUGAUGAUAUCCAAAGGAUCUUGUUCUCUUGCUAUAGAAUGUGGAUGACUUUCAAAUAAACUCCUGGAAGUGCUAACAUUGUGUGGUGAAAGAACAAUGCUGGAAUAGAAGGGUGAAGAAGUUCGAUAUCCUGGCAGUUCUGCAGUCCACCAAGUCUGUUAUUUCUGUUCUGUCUUUAUAAUGGCUAUAAAAUAUGAUCUGGGAGUAUGA
Molecule: long non-coding RNA, 369 nt
Organism: Pezoporus flaviventris
Lineage: Eukaryota; Metazoa; Chordata; Aves; Psittaciformes; Psittacidae
Exons: 2
Source: RefSeq, a predicted model, not a curated record